RNAcentral lists this non-coding RNA (21 nucleotides) under Arabidopsis thaliana (thale cress). Lineage: Eukaryota; Viridiplantae; Streptophyta; Magnoliopsida; Brassicales; Brassicaceae. The record is from RNAcentral.
UGCAUUCGGGUUAUAUGGUAC